CUCCAUGGGAUCCCAUGUUAAAAGACCUUGAUGACGAAUCCUGUUCUUCCAUUUGGCUUCUUGCUUCUGAUUGUUUUCAUUCCUGCCUUGUUCCUAGCCUCCUAUUCUACUGUGCCAAUGACGGUAGGCUCACAGGUCAAGGGCCUACCCAGUAAGACUCCAUUCCAAGAGCCGCUGUGUGAAGACAUAGCAUGCUUCUCCUCCAGAAGAACCAUCUUAGAAGCAGACAGAAGCCCUCACCAGACAACUGAACCUGCUGGCACUUUGAUCUUGGACUUAGCAGUCUCCAGAACUGUGAGAAAGAAAUUUCUUUUCUUUAUAAAUUACCCAGUGUCAGGUAUUUUGUUACAGCAGCACAAACAGAUAAAGACACAUCCAUUUUAUGGCCUAGAAAGACGUGUCCAGCUUAAUCAACAGCAGUGACCCAGAGGCACCGGAGAUGCUUGCACAGGAAAUACAGAUAUGCACAUUUAUAUGAAUGAAAAAUAUGCAAAGGAUGCACUGAUGUGAUCAUAUAUUUUUCAAACUGUGAAUAAAUCAAAUAUG
RNAcentral lists this long non-coding RNA (546 nucleotides) under Homo sapiens (human). RNAcentral describes it as "HSALNT0115002". The record is from RNAcentral. Lineage: Eukaryota; Metazoa; Chordata; Mammalia; Primates; Hominidae.